CCUACGGGUGGCUGCAGUGAGGAAUAUUGGUCAAUGGCCGAGAGGCUGAACCAGCCAAGUCGCGUGAGGGAAGACGGCCCUACGGGUUGUAAACCUCUUUUGUCGGGGAGCAAAGAGAGUCACGUGUGACUCAUUGAGAGUACCCGAAGAAAAAGCAUCGGCUAACUCCGUGCCAGCAGCCGCGGUAAUACGGAGGAUGCGAGCGUUAGCCGGAUUUAUUGGGGUUAAAGGGUGCGCCGUCGGAGGUGCAAGUCAGCGCUAAAAUUGCGGGGCUCAACCCCGUACUGCCGUUGAAACUGCAUCCCUUGAGUGCGCGAGAGGUAUGCAGAAUGCGUGGUGUAGCGGUGAAAUGCAUAGAGAUCACGCAGAACUCCGAUGGCGAAGGCAGCAUACCGGCGCGAAACUGACGCUCAGGCACGAAAGCGUGGGUAUCGAACAGGAUUAGAUACCCUAGUAGUC
Molecule: ribosomal RNA, 459 nt
Filed under: uncultured bacterium
Lineage: Bacteria
Description: partial 16S ribosomal RNA
Rfam family: Bacterial small subunit ribosomal RNA
Source: RNAcentral